AUCGUCCGCCGGACGGUCGCGGGUGGCUUCGGCUGCUCGAGGAAAGUCCGGACUCCACAGGGACAGAGUGCUGGGUAACUCCCAGGCGGGGCAACCCGACGGAUAGUGCCACAGAGAACAGACCGCCUACGUCGCGUGCGGCCGGUAAGGGUGAAACGGUGGUGUAAGAGACCACCAGCACGCCGGGAGACCGGCGUGGCUCGGCAAACCCCACUCGGAGCAAGGUCAAGCAGGAACAGGGUGUCCCACCCGCCACGUUCCAGGUAGACCGCAUGAGGCCGCCGGCAACGGCGGUCCCAGAUAGAUGACCGUCACGGGCACUGCGCCCGUACAGAAUCCGGCUUACAGGCGGACAACGGCA
RNAcentral lists this RNase P RNA (361 nucleotides) under Acidimicrobiia bacterium. Its description in RNAcentral is "RNase P RNA component class A". It matches the Rfam family "Bacterial RNase P class A". From Rfam's summary of the family: Ribonuclease P (RNase P) is a ubiquitous endoribonuclease, found in archaea, bacteria and eukarya as well as chloroplasts and mitochondria. Its best characterised activity is the generation of mature 5'-ends of tRNAs by cleaving the 5'-leader elements of precursor-tRNAs. The record is from RNAcentral. Lineage: Bacteria; Bacillati; Actinomycetota; Acidimicrobiia.